This 243-nucleotide ribosomal RNA is filed under the name uncultured Actinomycetales bacterium. RNAcentral's name for it is "partial 16S ribosomal RNA". It matches the Rfam family "Bacterial small subunit ribosomal RNA", at positions 88 to 334 of the family's 1533-position model. Lineage: Bacteria; Bacillati; Actinomycetota; Actinomycetes; Actinomycetales. The record is from RNAcentral.
UACUCGAGUGGCGAACGGGUGAGUAACACGUGGGUGAUCUGCCCUGCACUUCGGGAUAAGCUUGGGAAACUGGGUCUAAUACCGGAUAGGACCGCACCUUAGUGUGUGUGGUGGAAAGUUUUUUCGGUGUAGGAUGAGCUCGCGGCCUAUCAGCUUGUUGGUGGGGUAAUGGCCUACCAAGGCGGCGACGGGUAGCCGGCCUGAGAGGGUGUACGGCCACAUUGGGACUGAGAUACGGCCCAG